GUCUGCCAUCAUGUUAGUGUCCUCCAUGCAGCUGCUUUCUCAGUGGCUGUUACCUGAACUGAGGGAGGAAGAGAUAGUCGGGGAGAGCCGUCGCCGUGCCAAGGGAUGCCAGCUGUCCUAUAUCGGGAAUUCAACAGUGAUGGGGACAGCAAGGAGACUGAAAGGCCCUGAGUCUGACCUCUCCACAGCACCCAAAACACAGAAUGGACUUCCACAGCAUCCUUUGGAAUAGGCUCUAUAGAUUAGAAUAUAUUGAUCAUAUAUUGGGGAAUAGCAAUAUGCACAUCAUCACAUCUUU
Oncorhynchus tshawytscha (Chinook salmon) is the source of this 298-nucleotide long non-coding RNA. The record is from Ensembl. NCBI's taxonomy places the organism in Eukaryota, Metazoa, Chordata, Actinopteri, Salmoniformes, Salmonidae.